This 406-nucleotide ribosomal RNA is filed under the name uncultured bacterium. Its description in RNAcentral is "partial 16S ribosomal RNA". It matches the Rfam family "Bacterial small subunit ribosomal RNA", at positions 29 to 526 of the family's 1533-position model. The record is from RNAcentral.
AUUGAACGCUGGCGGCAGGCCUAACACAUGCAAGUCGAACGAGUGGCGGACGGGUGAGUAAUGUCUGGGAAACUGCCUGAUGGAGGGGGAUAACUACUGGAAACGGUAGCUAAUACCGCAUACCAUCGGAUGUGCCCAGAUGGGAUUAGCUAGUAGGUGGGGUAAAGGCUCACCUAGGCGACGAUCCCUAGCUGGUCUGAGAGGAGGACCAGCCAAACGGGAACUGAGAAACGGGCCAGACUCCUACGGGAGGAAGCAGAGGGGAAUAUUGCACAAUGGGCGCAAGCCUGAUGAAGCCAUGCCGCGUGGAUGAAGAAGGCCUUCGGGUGGUAAAGUACUUUCAGCGGGGAGGCGUUACCCGCAGAAGAAGCACCGGCUAACUACGUGCCAGCAGCCGCGGUAAUAC